UAUUGGACAUAAUAAUACAUAGAGGAUAGGGCACUUACAUUCUUAUUCAGUGACUGUUACACCUUACUCGAGGGGACUAGUUAAACUCACACAUCUUCUUUUAACUAACUGACUCACAGCCAACACACAUCUUUUAACUAACUGACUCACAGCCGACACACAGAUGAACUGACACAUGAACACUCCCAUUGACUCACACAACUGACCAUUAUUAUGUAGCUGAAAAAUUCAAGAACACCAUACAGGACAAGCAACUCAGGAUAAUGACCACAAGGACUAACCGUAGCCCCCUCCUCCAAACACAGAUUUAGAUGGAGAGAGGGAGACCUGGAAGAAAGGCGUAGCC
This 346-nucleotide long non-coding RNA is filed under the name Hordeum vulgare. RNAcentral's name for it is "long non-coding RNA (HVUL_LNC020609)". Lineage: Eukaryota; Viridiplantae; Streptophyta; Magnoliopsida; Poales; Poaceae. The record is from RNAcentral.